ACGGGGCGCAGCAGGCGCGAAAACUUUACAAUGCGGGAAACCGUGAUAAGGGAACUCCGAGUGCCCGUAAACGCGGGCUGUCCAUCUGCUUAAAAAACAGGUGAAGAAAGGGCCGGGCAAGACCGGUGCCAGCCGCCGCGGUAAUACCGGCGGCUCGAGUGGUGGCCACUAUUACUGGGCUUAAAGCGUCCGUAGCUUGGUUGUUAAGUCUCUUGGGAAAUCUGUCGGCUUAACCGACAGGCGUUUAAGGGAUACUGGCAAUCUAGGGACCGGGAGAGGUGAGAGGUACUCCAGGGGUAGGAGUGAAAUCCUGUAAUCC
Molecule: ribosomal RNA, 319 nt
Filed under: uncultured Methanomicrobiaceae archaeon
Lineage: Archaea; Methanobacteriati; Methanobacteriota; Methanomicrobia; Methanomicrobiales; Methanomicrobiaceae
Description: bacterial SSU rRNA
Rfam family: Archaeal small subunit ribosomal RNA
Source: RNAcentral